Molecule: ribosomal RNA, 514 nt
Filed under: uncultured bacterium
Lineage: Bacteria
Description: bacterial SSU rRNA
Rfam family: Bacterial small subunit ribosomal RNA
Source: RNAcentral
GAUCAUGGCUCAGAUUGAACGCUGGCGGCAGGCCUAACACAUGCAAGUCGAACGGUAACAGGAAGCAGCUUGCUGCUUGCUGACGAGUGGCGGACGGGUGAGUAAUGUCUGGGAAACUGCCCGAUGGAGGGGGAUAACUACUGGAAACGGUAGCUAAUACCGCAUAACGUCGCAAGACCAAAGAGGGGGACCUUCGGGCCUCUUGCCAUCGGAUGUGCCCAGAUGGGAUUAGCUUGUUGGUGAGGUAACGGCUCACCAAGGCGACGAUCCCUAGCUGGUCUGAGAGGAUGACCAGCCACACUGGAACUGAGACACGGUCCAGACUCCUACGGGAGGCAGCAGUGGGGAAUAUUGCACAAUGGGCGCAAGCCUGAUGCAGCCAAUGCCGCGUGUAUGAAGAAGGCCUUCGGGUUGUAAAGUACUUUCAGCGGGGAGGAAGGGGUUAAGGUUAAUAACCUUAGCCAUUGACGUUACCCGCAGAAGAAGCACCGGCUAACUCCGUGCCAGCCGCGGC